This 493-nucleotide ribosomal RNA is filed under the name uncultured bacterium. RNAcentral's name for it is "partial 16S ribosomal RNA". It matches the Rfam family "Bacterial small subunit ribosomal RNA", at positions 30 to 506 of the family's 1533-position model. The record is from RNAcentral.
AUUGAACGCUGGCGGCAUGCUUUACACAUGCAAGUCGAACGGCAGCGGGGAGGAGCUUGCUUCUCUGCCGGCGAGUGGCGAACGGGUGAGUAAUACAUCGGAACGUGUCGAGAAGAGGGGGAUAACCACCCGAAAGGGUGGCUAAUACCGCAUAAAUCCUGAGGAAGAAAGCUGGGGACCUAGGAAUAGGCCUAGCGCUUUUUGAGCGGCCGAUGUCGGAUUAGCUAGUUGGUGAGGUAAAGGCUCACCAAGGCGAAGAUCUGUAGCGGGUCUGAGAGGAUGAUCCGCCACACUGGGACUGAGACACGGCCCAGACUCCUACGGGAGGCAGCAGUGGGGAAUUUUGGACAAUGGGGGCAACCCUGAUCCAGCCAUGCCGCGUGUAUGAAGAAGGCCUUAGGGUUGUAAAGUACUUUUGUUAGGGAAGAAAAGUCAGCUGUGAAUAAUGGCUGAUACUGACGGUACCUAAAGAAUAAGCACCGGCUAACUACGU